GCACAGAACAUAUAUUCAUCUAAGAUUGAUUUGCAACGGCAUCAGUACUUGAACACACCGGGACCACAGUUAAAGAGCAAAUGCCAGAGAUACAGAAUGUUUUUCUUAGGAAAGACAAUGCCUGUUGUUAUCAUUGUGGGAACCUUUGGUUAUCCCUUCAUGGAAUUUCCUACAGAACAGGACUUAGCAUUCUCCGAUAUGACUUGAGUGAAUCACAAGAUGGAAAGUCAUGUUGUGAUGCCAAAAUAGCCCACUUAUGGGGGGAAAUCGGGCAGUAUAAUUCUGGUGGCAACAAUGUUCGAACUGCACAGGACAUGAAAGAUGCAAAAGAUUCAAUGAAAGGUGUAGUUUGAUGCCAAGCAGUUCUUGUUCAAAUAAAUUCCAAAAGUGCAGAUGAAGCAUCAGCAAUAAAAACUGUUUCGAAAGGAAUUGCAAAGAUUUCCAACAUUGAAUUGCAAAAUCAGGACAUAGUGGAUUGGAAGGCAUAUUGAAUUGGUGAUGGAGAAAUAUUACCAAAAGAAAAACUGACAAGCAUGUACCCUUUCCCACUGAAAUCCACUGAUAUUGUUACAUUCCCUGACUUUGCAACUCCAACAAUAGGAGAAGGGAAGAUCCACUAUCAACAUCAGGCAUGCCAAAAUCAAGCAACUGCAGAGCAAAUUGAUACAGCGUUUGCAGAACCAACAGAAACACCUCUUUCAUCUGCUGCUGUGUUUCCAUGCACAGAAACUGGAUGUAUCAAAAUAUUUUGCACUUUCUCUGGUUUAAAACAACAUUUACUAUGUGGAACCCACAAGUAUUCGUCAGAAAGACCUUCAUAAGACACCAUCAAACUGCAGUGGAAAAAUAGCUGAACUCCCUGCAGUCAGUUCCUUCAGCAUCUACCGGUACUUCAGCUACAGUUGAAGGGGAGUCCUCCUGUAACAUGGGCUGGGCUUUGAAGCGUGAGAGAAAGAAUUGUAGAUUCGACUAUGAAGUUCGAGAUUACUUGCAGGAAGUAUUUGAAUUAGGAGAGAAGACUGGAAAGAAAUUCAGUGCCCACGAUGUAUCAGGAAAUAUGCGUGUGGUUCGAGAUGUGAAAGGUGUCAAAAUAUUUCAAUCUGACCAGUAUUUACAGCCAAGUCAGAUCUCAUCGUUUUCUCCCGGCUGUCAGUAUUGGCUUGUACCACAAAGAAAGAAGUCAUUAAUAAUGAUGAUUUAGAAUUUGUCCUGGCCAUGAUAGUUGUUAAUGAGGCUCUAGAAUCUGUUAAUGUCCAGUUUUAAAGUUUUAAUGUUUUUAACUGUUAAUGUUGAAAUUAUUGCAAAAUAAGCACUUAUAAUAUUGCAUAACAUAAAACUGCUUACUUUUGAUAUUGAUGCAUAAUAUUCAAUAUCUGCAUUAUAGAUAGAUAGUUUUUCUUUUCCCUCGGACUAAAAUGUCUUAAUUUCAUUGGUUUAUACAUAAUUCAUGUACUUGACUGCUGGAAAUAUCUCUUUUAUUGUCUGAUGAGAAUUAUAUUCUGCAAUAUAUGGCAGACGCUUCUCAUAUUAACAUUUUAUAAAAUUUAGUACAGAAACCUAAUUCUGUAAGUUCUUAAAAUAUUUAGAGUAGUUACCUUCGGAAUUACUUUAAAUUAGAGUAGUUGUCAUUUAAUAUGAUGGCACAUUGUUUUAUCUAAAGCAGAAUAAAAUGACAACAUCAAGAUUUGCUCAAACCUCUGCGGAGGAACAGGAGAAAACAUUUAAGGUACACCACUAAACCAAGACUUGUACUUUUUAAGAAACUGCGUCUAAAGAGGGCGAUUCAAAUGUUGUGUUAAAUGAUUAAAUAUCGUCUUAGCUCAGAGGUUAAGGUAUUUGAUUUGAUCAUGAGUUCGAACUCGCCAGGGGCUUUUAUUCAUAUUGACUGUACUAAGUUUCUGAAAAGAUAAUUUUUUAUCAAAAAUUGUAACUUUUUUCAUCUAUUUAACUUGUAUAAACUUUAUUUAUUAGGCUAUCAAUCAUAAUCAAGUAAUUUACUGCUGUUUUGAGAAACUAUUUCAAGGUGUAGUGAGCCACCAUGACCAUGAUUAGUAGCAAAACAGUUAGUACAGAAAAAUAUUGGGUUGAUUAAUCGCAUCGACACCUCGACUUUACCUUGUUAUCUAUGAGAUUAAUCAAUCAAAUAUACAUGUAUCUCUGUAGUCAGUCAGU
Long non-coding RNA from Magallana angulata, 2172 nucleotides. RefSeq lists it as uncharacterized. Lineage: Eukaryota; Metazoa; Mollusca; Bivalvia; Ostreida; Ostreidae. The record is from RefSeq and is a predicted model, not a curated record. The transcript is spliced from 3 exons.